AUAUAUUAAUUAAAAUUAAAAAAAAAAUCUGUUCUCAUCUGUUUAAUUGCUGCUACGUCCUCGAUGUGAGGCCUGACACAUUAAAUGUAUUUUUGCUGCCAGGAGAGGGCCUCAGAGCUUGCUCCAGCCACUCCAGGCAUCUGCCAGCCUGGUAUUACAGUGCCACAGCAAUGGGGGCAGUGGUG
Molecule: small nuclear RNA, 185 nt
Organism: Alligator sinensis (Chinese alligator)
Lineage: Eukaryota; Metazoa; Chordata; Crocodylia; Alligatoridae
Product: U2 spliceosomal RNA
Exons: 1
Source: RefSeq, a predicted model, not a curated record